Molecule: ribosomal RNA, 773 nt
Filed under: uncultured Streptococcus sp.
Lineage: Bacteria; Bacillati; Bacillota; Bacilli; Lactobacillales; Streptococcaceae
Description: bacterial SSU rRNA
Rfam family: Bacterial small subunit ribosomal RNA
Source: RNAcentral
GACGAACGCUGACGGCGUGCCUAAUACAUGCAAGUAGAACGCACAGGAUGCACCGUAGUUUACUACACCGUAUUCUGUGAGUUGCGAACGGGUGAGUAACGCGUAGGUAACCUGCCUGGUAGCGGGGGAUAACUAUUGGAAACGAUAGCUAAUACCGCAUAAGAACAUUUACUGCAUGGUAGAUGUUUAAAAGGUGCAAAUGCAUCACUACCAGAUGGACCUGCGUUGUAUUAGCUAGUAGGUGAGGUAACGGCUCACCUAGGCGACGAUACAUAGCCGACCUGAGAGGGUGAUCGGCCACACUGGGACUGAGACACGGCCCAGACUCCUACGGGAGGCAGCAGUAGGGAAUCUUCGGCAAUGGGGGGAACCCUGACCGAGCAACGCCGCGUGAGUGAAGAAGGUUUUCGGAUCGUAAAGCUCUGUUGUUAAGGAAGAACGAGUGUGAGAAUGGAAAGUUCAUACUGUGACGGUACUUAACCAGAAAGGGACGGCUAACUACGUGCCAGCAGCCGCGGUAAUACGUAGGUCCCGAGCGUUGUCCGGAUUUAUUGGGCGUAAAGCGAGCGCAGGCGGUUAGAUAAGUCUGAAGUUAAAGGCAGUGGCUCAACCAUUGUAGGCUUUGGAAACUGUUUAACUUGAGUGCAGAAGGGGAGAGUGGAAUUCCAUGUGUAGCGGUGAAAUGCGUAGAUAUAUGGAGGAACACCGGUGGCGAAAGCGGCUCUCUGGUCUGUAACUGACGCUGAGGCUCGAAAGCGUGGGGAGCGAACAGG